UGGGGAAUAUUGCACAAUGGAGGGAACUCUGAUGCAGCAACGCCGCGUGAACGAUGAAGGUCUUCGGAUCGUAAAGUUCUGUUGCAGGGGAAGAUAAUGACGGUACCCUGUGAGGAAGCCCCGGCUAACUACGUGCCAGCAGCCGCGGUAAUACGUAGGGGGCUAGCGUUAUCCGGAUUUACUGGGCGUAAAGGGUGCGUAGGUGGUCUUUCAAGUCGGUGGUUAAAGGCUACGGCUCAACCGUAGUUAGCCUCCGAAACUGGAAGACUUGAGUGCAGGAGAGGAAAGUGGAAUUCCCAGUGUAGCGGUGAAAUGCGUAGAUAUUGGGAGGAACACCAGUAGCGAAGGCGGCUUUCUGGACUGCAACUGACGCUGAGGCUCGAAAGCGUGGGGAGCGAACAGG
RNAcentral lists this ribosomal RNA (403 nucleotides) under Verrucomicrobiota bacterium. Its description in RNAcentral is "Verrucomicrobia bacterium partial 16S ribosomal RNA". It matches the Rfam family "Bacterial small subunit ribosomal RNA", at positions 355 to 776 of the family's 1533-position model. Lineage: Bacteria; Pseudomonadati; Verrucomicrobiota. The record is from RNAcentral.